RNAcentral lists this ribosomal RNA (224 nucleotides) under uncultured bacterium. RNAcentral describes it as "partial 16S ribosomal RNA". It matches the Rfam family "Bacterial small subunit ribosomal RNA", at positions 111 to 334 of the family's 1533-position model. The record is from RNAcentral.
UAACGCGUGAGGAACCUGCCUUUCAGUGGGGGACAACAGUUGGAAACGACUGCUAAUACCGCAUAAUGUUUCUGGACCGCAUGAUCUGGAAACCAAAGCUUUAUGUGCUGAAAGAUGGCCUCGCGUCUGAUUAGAUAGUUGGUGAGGUAACGGCCCACCAAGUCUACGAUCAGUAGCCGGACUGAGAGGUUGAACGGCCACAUUGGGACUGAGAUACGGCCCAG